UACUCGAGUGGCGAACGGGUGAGUAACACGUGGGUGAUCUGCCCUGCACUUCGGGAUAAGCCUGGGAAACUGGGUAUAAUACCGGAUAGGACGAUGGUUUGGAUGCCAUUGUGGAAAGUUUUUUCGGUGUGGGAUGAGCUCGCGGCCUAUCAGCUUGUUGGUGGGGUAAUGGCCUACCAAGGCGUCGACGGGUAGCCGGCCUGAGAGGGUGUACGGCCACAUUGGGACUGAGAUACGGCCCAG
Molecule: ribosomal RNA, 243 nt
Filed under: uncultured Actinomycetales bacterium
Lineage: Bacteria; Bacillati; Actinomycetota; Actinomycetes; Actinomycetales
Description: partial 16S ribosomal RNA
Rfam family: Bacterial small subunit ribosomal RNA
Source: RNAcentral